Molecule: ribosomal RNA, 484 nt
Filed under: uncultured bacterium
Lineage: Bacteria
Description: partial 16S ribosomal RNA
Rfam family: Bacterial small subunit ribosomal RNA
Source: RNAcentral
AUUGAACGCUGGCGGCAGGCCUAACACAUGCAAGUCGAGCGGAUGAAGGGAGCUUGCUCCUGGAUUCAGCGGCGGACGGGUGAGUAAUGCCUAGGAAUCUGCCUGGUAGUGGGGGAUAACGUCCGGAAACGGGCGCUAAUACCGCAUACGUCCUGAGGGAGAAAGUGGGGGAUCUUCGGACCUCACGCUAUCAGAUGAGCCUAGGUCGGAUUAGCUAGUUGGUGGGGUAAGGGCCUACCAAGGCGACGAUCCGUAACUGGUCUGAGAGGAUGAUCAGUCACACUGGAACGGAGACACGGUCCAGACUCCUACGGGAGGCAGCAGUGGGGAAUAUUGGACAAUGGGCGAAAGCCUGAUCCAGCCAUGCCGCGUGUGUGAAGAAGGUCUUCGGAUUGUAAAGCACUUUAAGUUGGGAGGAAGGGCAGUAAGUUAAUACCUUGCUGUUUUGACGUUACCAACAGAAUAAGCACCGGCUAACCUCGUG